AGUCACUGACAUUAGAUACCCGCGUAGUCCAGGGUGUAAACGCUGCAGACUUGGUGUUGGGAACCCUUCGGGGGGUGCUCAGUGCCGGAGAGAAGUUGUUAAGUCUGCUACUUGGGGAGUACGUCCGCAAGGAUGAAACUUAAAGGAAUUGGCGGGGGAGCACCGCAACGGGAGGAGCGUGCGGUUUAAUUGGAUUCAACACCGUAAACUCACCAGGGAAGACUGUUACAUGAAGGCCGAGAUGAAGACUCUGCUAGAUUUUCAG
RNAcentral lists this ribosomal RNA (265 nucleotides) under uncultured archaeon. Its description in RNAcentral is "partial 16S ribosomal RNA". It matches the Rfam family "Archaeal small subunit ribosomal RNA", at positions 716 to 982 of the family's 1478-position model. The record is from RNAcentral.